Molecule: ribosomal RNA, 405 nt
Filed under: Troglophilus zoiai
Lineage: Eukaryota; Metazoa; Arthropoda; Insecta; Orthoptera; Rhaphidophoridae
Description: partial 16S ribosomal RNA
Rfam family: Bacterial large subunit ribosomal RNA
Source: RNAcentral
AUUUUGACUGGGCAAAGGUAGCAUAAUCAUUAGUCUUUUAAUUGGAGACUGGUAUGAAUGGUUUAACGAAGUAUUAGCUGUCUCAUUUUAAUAAAUUGAAUUUAACUUUUGAGUCAAAAGGCUUAAAUAAAAUUAGAGGACGAAAAGACCCUAUAGAGCUUUAUAAAUUAAAUAAUAAAUUGGAUUUGGAGGUUUUUUUAUUUAAGUAUAAAAUUUAUUUUAUUGGGGUGAUAUGAAGAUUUAAUUAACUCUUUAUAAUAAUUGAACACUAAUAAGUGAAUAGUUGAUCCAUUUUUAGUGAUUAUAAGAUUAAGUUACCUUAGGGAUAACAGCGUAAUGUUUUUUAAGAGUUCUUAUCAACAAAAAAGAUUGCGACCUCGAUGUUGGAUUAAGGAAAAAGUUGGG